CCUACGGGCGGCAGCAGUGGGGAAUAUUGGACAAUGGGGGCAACCCUGAUCCAGCCAUGCCGCGUGUGUGAAGAAGGCCCUCGGGUUGUAAAGCACUUUCAGUGAGGAAGAACGCCUGGUGGUUAAUACCCAUCAGGAAAGACAUCACUCACAGAAGAAGCACCGGCUAACUCCUGCCAGCAGCCGCGGUAAUACGGAGGGUGCGAGCGUUAAUCGGAAUUACUGGGCGUAAAGCGCGCGUAGGUGGCUUGAUAAGCCGGUUGUGAAAGCCCCGGGCUCAACCUGGGAACGGCAUCCGGAACUGUCAAGCUAGAGUGCAGGAGAGGAAGGUAGAAUUCCCGGUGUAGCGGUGAAAUGCGUAGAGAUCGGGAGGAAUACCAGUGGCGAAGGCGGCCUUCUGGACUGACACUGACACUGAGGUGCGAAAGCGUGGGUAGCAAACAGGAUUAGAUACCCCGGUAGUC
RNAcentral lists this ribosomal RNA (464 nucleotides) under Vreelandella stevensii. RNAcentral's name for it is "partial 16S ribosomal RNA". It matches the Rfam family "Bacterial small subunit ribosomal RNA", at positions 338 to 795 of the family's 1533-position model. The record is from RNAcentral. Lineage: Bacteria; Pseudomonadati; Pseudomonadota; Gammaproteobacteria; Oceanospirillales; Halomonadaceae.